RNAcentral lists this unclassified non-coding RNA (391 nucleotides) under soil metagenome. Its description in RNAcentral is "partial contains 5.8S ribosomal RNA, internal transcribed spacer 2, and large subunit ribosomal RNA". The stretch from base 1 to 122 matches the Rfam family "5.8S ribosomal RNA", at positions 35 to 154 of the family's 154-position model. The record is from RNAcentral.
GAUGAAGAACGUAGCGAAAUGCGAUACUUGGUGUGAAUUGCAGAAUCCCGUGAACCAUCGAGUCUUUGAACGCAAGAUGCGCCCGAAGCCAUUAGGCCGAGGGCACGCCUGCCUGGGCGUCACACGUCGUUGCCCCCCCAUCUACUCCUUCGGGAUUGCGGGGGGCGGAUGAUGGCCUCCCGUGCGCCUCGUCGCGCGGUUGGCAUAAAUGCCAAGUCCUCGGCGACACACGCCACGACAAUCGGUGGUUGCGAAACCUCGGUUGCCCGUCGUGUGCGGUCGUCGCGCAUCGAGGGCUCGAAAAAAUUGCCGGGCUCCGGCUCGGCUUUCAACGCGACCCCAGGUCAGGCGGGGUUACCCGCUGAAUUUAAGCAUAUCAAUAAGCGGAGGA